RNAcentral lists this transfer RNA (73 nucleotides) under Camelus bactrianus (Bactrian camel). It matches the Rfam family "tRNA". Rfam says of the family: Transfer RNA (tRNA) molecules are approximately 80 nucleotides in length. Their secondary structure includes four short double-helical elements and three loops (D, anti-codon, and T loops). Further hydrogen bonds mediate the characteristic L-shaped molecular structure. tRNAs have two regions of fundamental functional importance: the anti-codon, which is responsible for specific mRNA codon recognition, and the 3' end, to which the tRNAs corresponding amino acid is attached (by aminoacyl-tRNA synthetases). tRNAs cope with the degeneracy of the genetic code in two manners: having more than one tRNA (with a specific anti-codon) for a particular amino acid; and 'wobble' base-pairing, i.e. permitting non-standard base-pairing at the 3rd anti-codon position. The record is from Rfam by way of RNAcentral. Lineage: Eukaryota; Metazoa; Chordata; Mammalia; Artiodactyla; Camelidae. RNAcentral also lists the same sequence under 2 other names.
GGGGAGAUAGCUCAAGUGGUCUAGUACAUACUUAGCAUAUAUGAGGUCCUGGGUUCAAUCCCCAGUGGCUCCA